RNAcentral lists this ribosomal RNA (324 nucleotides) under uncultured bacterium. RNAcentral describes it as "bacterial SSU rRNA". It matches the Rfam family "Bacterial small subunit ribosomal RNA", at positions 28 to 334 of the family's 1533-position model. The record is from RNAcentral.
GAUGAACGCUGGCGGCGUGCCUAACACAUGCAAGUCGAGCGAAGCACUUUGCUUGGAUUCUUCGGAUGAAGAGGAUUGUGGCUGAGCGGGCGACGGGUGAAGGUACGCGUGGUAACCUGCCUCAUACAGGGGGAUAACAGUUAGAAAUGACUGCUAAUACCGCAUAAGACCACAGCACCGCAUGGUGCAGGGGUAAAAACUCCGGUGGUAUGAGAUGGACCCGCGUCUGAUUAGCUAGUUGGUGAGGUAACGGCUCACCAAGGCGGCGACGGGUAGCCGGCCUGAGAGGGUGGACGGCCACAUUGGGACUGAGACACGGCCCAG